UGGGGAAUAUUGGACAAUGGGCGCAAGCCUGAUCCAGCAAUGCCGCGUGUGUGAAGAAGGCCUUCGGGUUGUAAAGCACUUUUAUCAGGAGCGAAACGCUGUCGGCUAAUACCCGGCGGAACUGACGGUACAUGAGGAAUAAGCACCGGCUAACUUCGUGCCAGCAGCCGCGGUAAUACGAAGGGUGCAAGCGUUAAUCGGAAUUACUGGGCGUAAAGCGUGCGUAGGCGGUUUCUUAAGUCUGCUGUGAAAUCCCCGGGCUCAACCUGGGAAUGGCAGUGGAUACUGGGAGGCUAGAGUGUGUCAGAGGGUGGUGGAAUUCCCGGUGUAGCGGUGAAAUGCGUAGAGAUCGGGAGGAACAUCAGUGGCGAAGGCGGCCACCUGGGACAACACUGACGCUGAGGCACGAAAGCGUGGGGAGCAAACAGGAUUAGAUACCCUGGUAGUCCACGCCCUAAAACGAUGCGAACUGGAUGUUGGUCUCAACUCGGAGAUCAGUGUCGAAGCUAACGCGUUAAGUUCGCCGCCUGGGGAGUACGGUCGCAAGACUGAAACUCAAAUGAAUUGACGGGGUCAUAGCUGUUUCCUG
This 589-nucleotide ribosomal RNA is filed under the name uncultured bacterium. RNAcentral's name for it is "partial 16S ribosomal RNA". It matches the Rfam family "Bacterial small subunit ribosomal RNA", at positions 355 to 1376 of the family's 1533-position model. The record is from RNAcentral.